GAUCCUGGCUCAGGAUGAACGCUAGCUACAGGCUUAACACAUGCAAGUCGAGGGGUCAGCAUGUUGGUUGCUUGCAACCGAUGAUGGCGACCGGCGCACGGGUGAGUAACGCGUAUCCAACCGUACCCUUGUCCAUCGGAUAACCCGUCGAAAGGCGGCCUAACACGAUAUGCGGUUCACCGCAGGCUAUCUAACGUGAACGAAAUUGUGAAGGAGAAGGAUGGGGAUGCGU
RNAcentral lists this ribosomal RNA (232 nucleotides) under uncultured bacterium. RNAcentral's name for it is "partial 16S ribosomal RNA". It matches the Rfam family "Bacterial small subunit ribosomal RNA", at positions 15 to 236 of the family's 1533-position model. The record is from RNAcentral.